UCAUCUCCUUCAUCUUCAGAGAGUUCAAAAUCAGAUUCUUCUAUCUCUUCAUCACUUUCAAUAGCAUUAAUAUCAUGCUCUCGAUCAAUUUCAUCACUCUCAUUUUCAACCUCAUGUAUUUCCAAUUCACCAUUUUCAUGACGUAAGCUAUCAAGAUCAUCAGUGAUAUUUGGGAUUAUAGGGGGUAAAUUGUCAUCUUCUUGGUAUGGGAUAUUUGGAGAAUCAAUUUGAUUUCUAGCUUUUAUUUUACACACUGCCCACCAGUCAAUACUAUCUUUGUUUUUACUGGGAUAUUCUGCAAAAUAGACAUGUUGCGCUUGUUCAGCCAAUACAAAAGGUUCUUAAGCAUAGCUCGAGAACCUUUUUUUAAGAUUGAUAUCUAUCAG
RNAcentral lists this long non-coding RNA (386 nucleotides) under Solanum tuberosum (potato). Its description in RNAcentral is "long non-coding RNA (STUB_LNC008883)". Lineage: Eukaryota; Viridiplantae; Streptophyta; Magnoliopsida; Solanales; Solanaceae. The record is from RNAcentral.